GGGAAAAGGGGGGGGGGGGGCGGCGGUAAUGCGGGGGGGGGAAGCGUUAUUCGGAAUUGUUGGGCGUGAAGGGCGCGUAGGGGGUUUCUUAAGGCGGAUGUGCAAUCCCCGGGCUCAACCCGGGAACUGCAUCCGAGACUGGGAGGCUAGAGUACUGGAGAGGGUGGUGGAAUUCCUCGUGUAGCGGUGAAAUGCGUAGAGAUGAGGAGGAACACCAGUGGCGAAGGCGGCCACCUGGACAGUAACUGACGCUGAGGCGCGAAAGCGUGGGUAGCAAACAGGAUUAGAUACCCUGUAGUC
RNAcentral lists this ribosomal RNA (300 nucleotides) under uncultured Propionibacterium sp. RNAcentral's name for it is "partial 16S ribosomal RNA". The stretch from base 53 to 300 matches the Rfam family "Bacterial small subunit ribosomal RNA", at positions 547 to 795 of the family's 1533-position model. The record is from RNAcentral. Lineage: Bacteria; Bacillati; Actinomycetota; Actinomycetes; Propionibacteriales; Propionibacteriaceae.